Molecule: long non-coding RNA, 485 nt
Filed under: Coturnix japonica (Japanese quail)
Lineage: Eukaryota; Metazoa; Chordata; Aves; Galliformes; Phasianidae
Description: lncRNA (ENSCJPG00005009948.1)
Source: RNAcentral
CGUGUCAUUGCUCAGUUAAGCUGUUCUGUUUUUACUGCAGAGUAUCAUCUUUUUUUUGCUUAUAUAGAAUCAUCACCUGAGGGAAUAUCUCAGGAAUGGAAUGACCACAUUUGGCAGCAAUAAUAAUAACCUGAAACAAUGCAUGUCAAAGACUCUGUACCCUGGCAGCAUGCAUGGGGUGAAGCAGCAUUAAUGACUGGGUGCUCCAGUGACUGCACAUAGUCAUGCAAAGGCAAGAGAUACUGUUAUGUGGAAUGAACACUUAUGAAGAGUGUUAUAUUGAGGAAAAGUUUCUAUAUGGCAGUAGUUUCUUUAUGGAAUAAAGGAAACUAUCUCUCCAUUUAAACCAAUAGAGAUGUUUGAAAAGGUGUUGAUGUUUGCCAUCUAACACGUUGUUGCUACUCUGAGCUCAACAAAACUGGUAAGCAGCUCCCUGCUUUCUACAUGAUAAAGUUGCUUUGAGAUCAGUGGGAAUAACUGCCUAC